Molecule: ribosomal RNA, 301 nt
Filed under: uncultured bacterium
Lineage: Bacteria
Description: partial 16S ribosomal RNA
Rfam family: Bacterial small subunit ribosomal RNA
Source: RNAcentral
CAGUAGCCGCGGUAAUACGGAGGGUGCAAGCGUUAAUCGGAAUUACUGGGCGUAAAGCGCACGCAGGCGGUCUGACAAGUCAGAUGUGAAAUCCCCGGGCUUAACCUGGGAACUGCAUUUGAAACUGUCAGGCUGGAGUCUUGUAGAGGGGGGUAGAAUUCCAGGUGUAGCGGUGAAAUGCGUAGAGAUCUGGAGGAAUACCGGUGGCGAAGGCGGCCCCCUGGACAAAGACUGACGCUCAGAUGCGAAAGCGUGGGGAGCAAACAGGAUUAGAUACCCCUGUAGUCCCUGUCUCUUAUAC